This is a long non-coding RNA of Cucurbita maxima (winter squash), 675 nucleotides long. RefSeq lists it as uncharacterized. The record is from RefSeq and is a predicted model, not a curated record. Lineage: Eukaryota; Viridiplantae; Streptophyta; Magnoliopsida; Cucurbitales; Cucurbitaceae. The transcript is spliced from 2 exons.
ACUUUUUGACUUUUCUCCCUCCCGUCUCGAUCUUCUCGCGCCGCGAUAGCCAUUUGUUUCCCGGCCAUCUCUCUCUUGCUCUGCCCUUCGUUCGUUGCUCGAGUUUGCUCGUUCUCGAGACCAGCUUUGAACAAACACGUUGCAAUAGGCAAUAUUGUAGCAUAUUCCUAAGCCAAGUAGUGUAUAUUAGAUGAUGGCGCCUCAAAGAAGGGGCACAACAACAUGCAAUAGGGUGGAAGGAGAUGGGUGACUCUGGCUCGAGCAGACCCUACCCAAAAUCAUUCGGUUGGAGAACUACCAUUGAGGCAUGUGCCACAAUGGCUAGUACCUCUGACACAAACUACGGUGAUAUUGACAUUGUAGGCUAUACUCACUUUUUGAGUUAGCUGCAACCAAUUAGUCAAGAAUAAUGGAAACAUGAUGACAGAGUAAGUUAAAUAUUUGUAAGACUUCAAGAAGCAUGAUCCCAACAACCUUUGGAUCGAUAUGCAGUAGACCAUACGACGAGAAUAUAGUUAGAGUGAAGUUAGAGAAUCUCCCUCUUGAGCUAGCCUAGGACAUUAUCUUGUUCAAAUUUCCAGGUCUAGUCUACACUUCUUUUUUUCUUUUUUUUUUUUCAACCACCAUGACUAAAUUGUCAACUUUCUUAAACAACAUCAUGUUUCUAAUAUUUCU